Molecule: long non-coding RNA, 973 nt
Organism: Xyrauchen texanus (razorback sucker)
Lineage: Eukaryota; Metazoa; Chordata; Actinopteri; Cypriniformes; Catostomidae
Exons: 6
Source: RefSeq, a predicted model, not a curated record
UAUGAGCAACACACUUUGUUGUAAAUUAUUGACAAGUCAAAAAAUAUAUAAAUAGGAAAUAUUGACAUAUAACAACAUUUUCACUGAUGUUUAGGAACUCAGCCUUCAAACCUCCACUGUGUCACAAUGAACACCACAGCUGAUGAGUUAGUUAAUGUACUAAAUGUUGUAGUUACUGAGCUGAGUAACUGUUCUAGAGCAGCUUGUAAUGUGUCAGAUUGAAUCUAUUUUUAUUUCUCCAAUUCACUUUUUCAGGUCUGAAAACUUCAACUCCUGCUCCACUAGAAACUACUCAGGCUUCACACCCCCUCAAUUUCCCAUGGAACAUCACUGCUGGAACAUGGCUUAUCAUGUGUGGCAGCUUCAUGUUGACCGGAUUCAUAGGUGUUUGUCUGUGCUGUUUCAGCACAGAGGAUCUGGAGAGUUAAAUGACUGAAUUUUCUGAAGUGCACUUUGUGGAAGUCAGAAUCAAGGAUAGCUGAAAUAAUCAACGUCUGGGACAAAGUGUAUUCUGUUUGCAGCAUCAUCCCUGACGUAUCUGCUGAGAGCCAUGAUACAAACCAAUGAUAAUUUCACCUGUUUUCAAUUUCUUUUUUGUAGAAAUAUUUUCACAUUAAAUUAAUUGUUGCAUGUAAAUUACUUUAAGAGACAACCACAAAGAAGAAUAUAUUUGUGGAUCUGAGAUCCAAGGCACAUGGGCAAAACCAAGGCACAUGGGCAAAAGUUGGCCCGUGAUGACCUUUGAUUUGGCCAUUGAUGCAACACUUAACUGGAUUAGUUAAGCAGAUUGCAGAGUAAUGUUUUUUAUUAUGUUUAUCAUUACUUAUAUUAUGAAGGAGGGGGACCAGGGCAACUUUUAUAUUUUAACAGUUUGAUAUAAUGCAAUGAUUACAACAAUAGAUAAUUAAUGGCAAAAUUGCAAACUUUGUUAUAACAUUUAGCACAGGUUUUUUUUUCUUUUCCUUUUGUGAAA